GUCAGAAUGGCCGAGCGGUCUAAGGCGCCAGACUCAAGGUGCAAACCUUCCUGUAGAGAGGAUUCUGGUCUCCAAAUGGAGGCGUGGGUUCAAAUCCCACUUCUGACA
RNAcentral lists this transfer RNA (108 nucleotides) under Pangasianodon hypophthalmus (striped catfish). It matches the Rfam family "tRNA". Rfam says of the family: Transfer RNA (tRNA) molecules are approximately 80 nucleotides in length. Their secondary structure includes four short double-helical elements and three loops (D, anti-codon, and T loops). Further hydrogen bonds mediate the characteristic L-shaped molecular structure. tRNAs have two regions of fundamental functional importance: the anti-codon, which is responsible for specific mRNA codon recognition, and the 3' end, to which the tRNAs corresponding amino acid is attached (by aminoacyl-tRNA synthetases). tRNAs cope with the degeneracy of the genetic code in two manners: having more than one tRNA (with a specific anti-codon) for a particular amino acid; and 'wobble' base-pairing, i.e. permitting non-standard base-pairing at the 3rd anti-codon position. The record is from Rfam by way of RNAcentral. Lineage: Eukaryota; Metazoa; Chordata; Actinopteri; Siluriformes; Pangasiidae.